GAUGAACGCUGGCGGCGUGCCUAAUACAUGCAAGUCGAGCGAACAGACGAGGAGCUUGCUCCUCUGACGUUAGCGGCGGACGGGUGAGUAACACGUGGAUAACCUACCUAUAAGACUGGGAUAACUUCGGGAAACCGGAGCUAAUACCGGAUAAUAUAUUGAACCGCAUGGUUCAAUAGUGAAAGACGGUUUUGUUUUCACUUAUAGAUGGAUCCGCGCCGCAUUAGCUAGUUGGUAAGGUAACGGCUUACCAAGGCGACGAUGCGUAGCCGACCUGAGAGGGUGAUCGGCCACACUGGAACUGAGACACGGUCCAGACUCCUACGGGAGGCAGCAGUAGGGAAUCUUCCGCAAUGGGCGAAAGCCUGACGGAGCAACGCCGCGUGAGUGAUGAAGGUCUUCGGAUCGUAAAACUCUGUUAUUAGGGAAGAACAAAUGUGUAAGUAACUAUGCACGUCUUGACGGUACCUAAUCAGAAAGCCACGGCUAACUACGUG
Molecule: ribosomal RNA, 497 nt
Filed under: uncultured bacterium
Lineage: Bacteria
Description: partial 16S ribosomal RNA
Rfam family: Bacterial small subunit ribosomal RNA
Source: RNAcentral